This 240-nucleotide long non-coding RNA is filed under the name Mytilus galloprovincialis (Mediterranean mussel). The record is from RNAcentral. Lineage: Eukaryota; Metazoa; Mollusca; Bivalvia; Mytilida; Mytilidae.
CAGUACAUGGUAUAUCAUGGACACCAAAAGCAAACUAUAAAGAUCUAAAUGCCAUAAUUUUGUGCAUCUUGAAAACUGGAAAGGCGGAUCACUUUGAAGCAGAUGAUAGUGAUAGUGUUUAAAAGAAUUCUUUGCGACAGUUAUACCAGUUGGAACAGGUAAUAGUUUAAAUUAUGAAAGUUUUAAAUUACUUCUCGGAUAAAUCAUAUGGCCCGUUCAAUAAUUUUAAUACAUCCCCCC